UACGUAGGGUGCGAGCGUUGUCCGGAAUUACUGGGCGUAAAGAGCUCGUAGGUGGUUUGUCGCGUUGUCCGUGAAAACUCACAGCUUAACUGUGGGCGUGCGGGCGAUACGGGCAGACUGGAGUACUGCAGGGGAGACUGGAAUUCCUGGUGUAGCGGUGGAAUGCGCAGAUAUCAGGAGGAACACCGGUGGCGAAGGCGGAUCUCUGGGCCAUUACUGACGCUGAGGAGCGAAAGCGUGGGGAGCGAACAGG
This 253-nucleotide ribosomal RNA is filed under the name uncultured bacterium. Its description in RNAcentral is "partial 16S ribosomal RNA". It matches the Rfam family "Bacterial small subunit ribosomal RNA", at positions 524 to 776 of the family's 1533-position model. The record is from RNAcentral.